Molecule: ribosomal RNA, 498 nt
Filed under: uncultured bacterium
Lineage: Bacteria
Description: partial 16S ribosomal RNA
Rfam family: Bacterial small subunit ribosomal RNA
Source: RNAcentral
GACGAACGCUGGCGGCGUGCCUAAUACAUGCAAGUCGAACGAGAGCGCCCGGUGCUUGCACUGGUCAAUCUAGUGGCGAACGGGUGAGUAACACGUGGGUAACCUGCCCAUCAGAGGGGGAUAACAUUCGGAAACGGAUGCUAAAACCGCAUAGGUCUUCGAACCGCAUGGUUUGAAGAGGAAAAGAGGCGCAAGCUUCUGCUGAUGGAUGGACCCGCGGUGCAUUAGCUAGUUGGUGAGGUAACGGCUCACCAAGGCCGUGAUGCAUAGCCGACCUGAGAGGGUGAUCGGCCACAUUGGGACUGAGACACGGCCCAAACUCCUACGGGAGGCAGCAGUAGGGAAUCUUCCGCAAUGGACGCAAGUCUGACGGAGCAACGCCGCGUGAGCGAAGAAGGUUUUCGGAUCGUAAAACUCUGUUGUUAGAGAAGAAUAAGUGCUAGAGUAACUGUUAGCGCCUUGACGGUAUCUAACCAGAAAGCCACGGCUAACUACGUG